This 490-nucleotide ribosomal RNA is filed under the name Salmonella enterica. RNAcentral's name for it is "partial 23S ribosomal RNA". It matches the Rfam family "Bacterial large subunit ribosomal RNA", at positions 1243 to 1735 of the family's 2925-position model. Lineage: Bacteria; Pseudomonadati; Pseudomonadota; Gammaproteobacteria; Enterobacterales; Enterobacteriaceae. The record is from RNAcentral.
UAAGCCUGCGAAGGUGGCCUGUGAGGGUUGCUGGAGGUAUCAGAAGUGCGAAUGCUGACAUAAGUAACGAUAAAGCGGGUGAAAAGCCCGCUCGCCGGAAGACCAAGGGUUCCUGUCCAACGUUAAUCGGGGCAGGGUGAGUCGACCCCUAAGGCGAGGCCGAAAGGCGUAGUCGAUGGGAAACGGGUUAAUAUUCCCGUACUUGGUGUUACUGCGAAGGGGGGACGGAGAAGGCUAUGUUGGCCGGGCGACGGUUGUCCCGGUUUAAGCGUGUAGGCUGGUUUUCCAGGCAAAUCCGGAAAAUCAAGGCUGAGGCGUGACGACGAGGCACUACGGUGCUGAAGCAACAAAUGCCCUGCUUCCAGGAAAAGCCUCUAAGCAUCAGGUAACAUCAAAUCGUACCCCAAACCGACACAGGUGGUCAGGUAGAGAAUACCAAGGCGCUUGAGAGAACUCGGGUGAAGGAACUAGGCAAAAUGGUGCCGUAACU